UACGGGGGGGGGCAAGCGUUGUUCGGAAUUACUGGGCGUAAAGGGCUCGUAGGUGGCCAACUAAGUCAGACGUGAAAUCCCUCGGCUUAACCGGGGAACUGCGUCUGAUACUGGAUGGCUGGAGUAUGGGAGAGGAAUGCGGAAUUCCAGGUGUAGCGGUGAAAUGCGUAGAUAUCUGGAGGAACACCGGUGGCGAAGGCGGCAUUCUGGACCAUUACUGACGCUGAGGAGCGAAAGCCAGGGGAGCAAACGGG
RNAcentral lists this ribosomal RNA (254 nucleotides) under uncultured bacterium. RNAcentral describes it as "partial 16S ribosomal RNA". It matches the Rfam family "Bacterial small subunit ribosomal RNA", at positions 524 to 776 of the family's 1533-position model. The record is from RNAcentral.